This 253-nucleotide ribosomal RNA is filed under the name uncultured bacterium. RNAcentral describes it as "partial 16S ribosomal RNA". It matches the Rfam family "Bacterial small subunit ribosomal RNA", at positions 524 to 776 of the family's 1533-position model. The record is from RNAcentral.
UACAGAGGUCUCAAGCGUUGUUCGGAUUCAUUGGGCGUAAAGGGUGCGUAGGUGGCGCUGUAAGUCAGGUGUGAAAUUUCGGAGCUCAACUCCGAAACUGCAUUUGAUACUGCGGUGCUUGAGGACUGGAGAGGAGACUGGAAUUCACGGUGUAGCAGUGAAAUGCGUAGAUAUCGUGAGGAAGACCAGUGGCGAAGGCGGGUCUCUGGACAGUUCCUGACACUGAGGCACGAAGGCUAGGGGAGCAAACGGG